UUCUAUCUCACUCAGCGUCAUGAUGACGUU
Molecule: small RNA, 30 nt
Filed under: Bombyx mori (domestic silkworm)
Lineage: Eukaryota; Metazoa; Arthropoda; Insecta; Lepidoptera; Bombycidae
Description: piRNA piR-bmo-2226661
Source: RNAcentral